UGGGAAGUGUAGGUGGCCAGGCACAGGGA
Molecule: non-coding RNA, 29 nt
Filed under: Homo sapiens (human)
Lineage: Eukaryota; Metazoa; Chordata; Mammalia; Primates; Hominidae
Source: RNAcentral